This is a long non-coding RNA of Papaver somniferum (opium poppy), 906 nucleotides long. RefSeq lists it as uncharacterized. NCBI's taxonomy places the organism in Eukaryota, Viridiplantae, Streptophyta, Magnoliopsida, Ranunculales, Papaveraceae. The record is from RefSeq and is a predicted model, not a curated record. The transcript is spliced from 2 exons.
UUUCAAUUCCUCCCCCUCCCCUUCUGUCUCAGAAACUGAAUGCCUCUCUCCAAAUCCUUCAUUAUUCUGAUGUUGCUGCUUUACUAGAUCUUGCCGAUUGAUAAAUAAUAAACCUUGUUCACUUGUUUGAUGAUGUUAAUCGAGUCUUAUAAUUUUGAUUGAUUUAUAUCUCGAAUUUUACUUGAACGUUAACAGAUUGAUUGAUUUAUAUCUCGGUUUUUACUAAAACGUUAAUAGAUGUUGCAGAUCUUGAACGCUGAUUGUUUUCAGUGUAAUGUAUUUAGGGAUUAUGUUUUUUUAGACCUAUACUAGGUUAUUUUUUGUUCUUUCCUGCAUCUUCUUAUGAUCUUAUCUGUAAUCUUUAACAUGUAAAGUUCUGAUCUGUUUCCCGGUGUUGUUUCGACACUAAUUAGACUUUGAACUCUUUUCCUGGAUUUGGACCGUAAGCUAUUAAAUCUCUGUUUUUUCUCAAAAUGGAUCUGAUUGGUUUUCCUAAAUUUUUGUUGGAAUGAAUGAAUCAGGGUGAUUUACUCCAAAUUGGAUUUUAUGGUGAUUAGUAUGUUUGGAAAAGGCCUCAAGUUUUUCAUUUUUGUUGAUGAUGGACUAGAUCUGGAAUGAGUACUCUAUUUGAUCUCAAAAUCAGAGCUAAAAAACAGAUUAGUGAUGGAAGGUCACAACUGCAUGGAUCUCUAAAUAUUUUUCAUCUUGUGCUUUGAGAAUCAAAGAAGUUCCGUGGGUGCUUCAAAGUUGAAGUACUAUUCUUCAUCUUUUGUUUCUAAAAUUGUGGAGAUAGUAAUUUUUUUUAUAAAGAAAUAAUUAAAUUGUAUUUUUGUUUUUUUUUUCCCCUCUGUGUAAGGAAUAUAACUUUUCUAAGAAAUGAUGAAUAAAUUAUGUUAUAUAAUAUAA